RNAcentral lists this ribosomal RNA (701 nucleotides) under Candida albicans. RNAcentral's name for it is "eukaryotic LSU rRNA". It matches the Rfam family "Eukaryotic large subunit ribosomal RNA", at positions 101 to 822 of the family's 3401-position model. Lineage: Eukaryota; Fungi; Ascomycota; Pichiomycetes; Serinales; Debaryomycetaceae. The record is from RNAcentral.
GGCAAAGCUCAAAUUGAAAUCUGGCGUCUUUGGCGUCCGAGUUGUAAUUUGAAGAAGGUAUCUUUGGGCCCGGCUCUUGUCUAUGUUCCUUGGAACAGGACGUCACAGAGGGUGAGAAUCCCGUGCGAUGAGAUGACCCGGGUCUGUGUAAAGUUCCUUCGACGAGUCGAGUUGUUUGGGAAUGCAGCUCUAAGUGGGUGGUAAAUUCCAUCUAAAGCUAAAUAUUGGCGAGAGACCGAUAGCGAACAAGUACAGUGAUGGAAAGAUGAAAAGAACUUUGAAAAGAGAGUGAAAAAGUACGUGAAAUUGUUGAAAGGGAAGGGCUUGAGAUCAGACUUGGUAUUUUGCAUGCUGCUCUCUCGGGGGCGGCCGCUGCGGUUUACCGGGCCAGCAUCGGUUUGGAGCGGCAGGAUAAUGGCGGAGGAAUGUGGCACGGCUUCUGCUGUGUGUUAUAGCCUCUGACGAUGCUGCCAGCCUAGACCGAGGACUGCGGUUUUUAACCUAGGAUGUUGGCAUAAUGAUCUUAAGUCGCCCGUCUUGAAACACGGACCAAGGAGUCUAACGUCUAUGCGAGUGUUUGGGUGUAAAACCCGUACGCGUAAUGAAAGUGAACGAAGUGGGGGCCCAUUAGGGUGCACCAUCGACCGAUCCUGAUGUGUUCGGAUGGAUUUGAGUAAGAGCAUAGCUGUUGGACCCGAAAG